Molecule: long non-coding RNA, 4087 nt
Organism: Apodemus sylvaticus (European woodmouse)
Lineage: Eukaryota; Metazoa; Chordata; Mammalia; Rodentia; Muridae
Exons: 3
Source: RefSeq, a predicted model, not a curated record
CUGAGAGGAGUCCGGGUGCUCAUUACCACCCUAGAUGAGCCCAUACAAGAUGUGUCCUUGGGAGUGUGUGCAGUGGACACACAGAGACACUUAGGAGUGAACUCCUGUGAGUCUCAGGAUGGAGAAUUCCUACAGAAGUCUGGUGGCUUACAGCAGCAGAUGCGGAUCUGGGUCUGUCCCGUGGAAUAUUCGGAAUAUUAGCAGAAUUCACUGGUGGCCUCUCCUCCGCUUGUCCCAGCAGUCCAGGCCAAAAAGUGCUAACAGCCCCUUCCCCGUUUGAGAACAUUCAGUAUCACUUUCUAGGUGCUUUCUGGCUUCCCAGCACUGGAUCCUGCUCUAUGCAUGUUCUUUGGCCCCCUUGGGCGAGCCUCUGAGAAGCCCCUUGGAGGACCCCUCAGGUGAGCCCCUGAGAAGCCCCUUGGAGCACCAUUUUGCAGUUUCCUCGUCCAGAAACAAGAAGCUGAGACCCUUGAGAAGCCAUCACGGGGAUUAGAGAUGAGCUUGGACAUCCACCUUCACCGAAAGUUUGCCCUAGUCACCCCUUGUACCCCUCCUCUUGGCCCAGGGCACCUCUGCCCACUGACUCCACUUCACGGGCUCCCCUACUGGGUUUUUUUUUUCUUCUAGUUAUCAUCUCUUCUGGAACAUAUGUCUUGCUUUGAAAAUCCUCUCUUUGCCAGUUUCUCCCCCUUCAUGUUACCAUCUGGGUCCUAAACCCUAGCGCUGCAUUCACCUGCUGCGUAAACCCAAGCUAAGCCUAGGCUGGCCAUUUCUACCCUUGCCCUCUUAAAAUUUCUCCUGGAGAACUCCCUAAGUGCUGUCUCUCAAGAGUUGGAGUCUAUAGGCAACGGUGUGGCCAGGGAAUCUGCAUUUUUUAACCACACCUUCCUAUGGGAGAGAGGCUGGCUCUUGUAUUGUACUCUAUGAAGCACCUAUCACCCGCGGUGUCCCCCUCUGUAAGAGGAUGGAGCAGAACCUUCCUCCCAAGGUUGCAAAAGUGGAAUGAUUGAUCUGCAAACAAGCAGAUCUUUUGUCCUGCCUUAGUUUUGUAUAAUUGCUUUUGUCUGUCCUUCCUGUCUGUUUCGGUUAAGUUUCUAUUCAUUUUCUUACUCUCUUCUCAUUACCUGAAGAACACCCAACUCCAGAGUGGAAAUGGAAACCCUGAACGUGGUGUGGGGUGGAGGUGGGGUGUCUGUGAGGGCUGGAGGUCCCCACGCAGCCUAAGUGGCCCUUUUUACUCCUGGAAACCCGCACCCAACAGUCCCCUACGAUGGAGCAUCCCCGCCCCUGCAGCCUCCACAGCCAGGAAGCCCAGGGAAGAGGAGGAAUCUAUUGUGCAGGAAUGGCCGCUGCUAUGGAAACCAGCGCUCAGGAAACUCAGCAAAGAUCCAUUCCGGGGAGCCGGGUUGCCUUGGGGGAGGGGAAGAGGCCAAACUGCGCCUCGGACCUUGCCCUCCCAUUACCCAUCCUGUGAUGCUGGGCAAGUCACUUAACCUCUCUGAGCCCUCCUUUCCCUCACCGGCCUGAGAGCAGCAGCCCCCAUUAGCGGUGGAUAAUCCCAGCCUCCGAUGACUGAAUGUCGCGCUGCGGCUUUCAAGACUGAAGAUGGGCCAAAUUGCUGUGAGCUUUCUUUCAUUACCGCAAGCUCAAAAUAUUCCAGUGCCAGCUUGCUGAGCGACCCUGUGCCACGGAGGACCGGCAACGAUUGCAAUGAUUGAAUUCCCUCUCGCGGAGGCAGUGGGUCCACCCUUAACACACACACUACCAUACACACUCAGACGCAGCAUGCACACAGGUGCUGAGCUAGGCUGCCCACAAAAAAAGCUCGGUUUCUGCAGGCAGGGAGCUCUCGCUCUCAGUUUCUCUCCAUCUGCAGCGCCAUGGUCAGGAUCAUCUGAAGGCUUCGCUAGACUGCCCACUUCAGGAGGCCUAAGUCCAACCCCAGCAGCCUGACCUUGGAGGCCUUUAGCAUCUUUGCUCUGUCCAGCUCAUCCUGGUAUCAUCUCUGGAUUUAUGAGAGCCUUCCUGAGUGGAAAAAAUUGCAGACGGCUCAGUGCUGGGGACCCAGGAAUGCACGAGGCCAGCUGAGACAAGGAUAUGCAGCCAAGAGACGCAGGCAGAUGUUAAACAAGUAAUUACAAGCAUGAUGGAUGCCACAAAGGGACAGCAGAGCAAGAACCCCCAGGAGUGAUACAGGAAGACACCAGGGAUUUCCAUUUGAAUGAGGUUUUUGUAGUCCAAAGGUUGGUCCUCUGGCCCUGCACAGAACCUCCUCUGUAAAGUCCCGAGGCCUGCAGACUCAGUACCUUGGGGCAAAGGGACCCCUGAACCCAUGUUCACCAAAAGACAUGGUACGGUUAGCCCUGAGUUGUGAGGGUGAUGUUUGGUAGCCGCUCUCCUACUCAGGCAGGCUCAUCUCCCAGCCAGCCAUCUGACAUGCAGAAUUAGUUCUAGGGCAUAGAUAAUAAAGAAGCCAAGGGCUAGAAAAGUCAAAUGACCCCUUGCUAAAUAUGCUUACAGGUAACAGUGGAGACAAGAAGUGCCCAGUGGGCUGCUCUUACCCAUGAUCCUUCACUCUACGACAGCAGUUAGCAACCCAGAACUGGUGACCCUGACAUCACGGUGAAUGGCUGUCCGGCCAGGCAGACCUUCAACCGUUUGUCUAACUCAUCUGACUUGUUUCCCAGCUGAUGGUGUCUCUGGUGUGAUGGGACUUGUGAGGAUUUUUACUGCUGAACCUGCUGCCUUUCUCUCUGCUCUCCAUCUCCAUCCUUCUUCUCAACCACUCUGGCCUCAAGGACUCCUCUAACUGGCAGGACCUGACCCUGCUCAGCAGUUUUGUACAUACCGCUCCCUGGGCCCGGCAACUUUUCUUCCUCAUAUCCACAGCUCUGCUUAGAGACCUCCUGGCAUCCUGGCAGAAGCUGGUCCUGUGCCACCACCCUGGAUGCCACUCAGCCUGUGUUUUUCUCCCUUGCACUUUCACCAGCUCCUACUCCCAGCCUCUUGCUGCAGAGAGCUUUGGUUCAUUCACUGCAGUUUCCCAGCCAAGGUACUUGACUCAGGCCACCAGGAGUUAGCAAGCCCACAGAAGCUCAUGCCAGACCGCUGUGCUUCCAUGGUCUAUGCAUACCCUUGACAGCUCCGAAGGGGCGCCCUCUCUCCCUAGCCAUAUGGUGACGGGGUUGAUUUGGAGCAUACCUGCUCCCCAGUCAGUCAGACAACAAGAUCUAGGCAGAGUGUAUUCACAACUCUACAAACAGGCUCUCUGAGAAGACAGCCAUGCAGCCUUCCUCUUAUGUAGUAGACCUCUAAAAGAGCACUACUGGAUUCCAUGGGCCUCUUUCUCCAGCCCCCUGGAGCUGGCAGGCAAUAGGAAACCAGGCCUAGGUUUGGCAAAGUCUAGCAGGGGCUCAAAGCCGAGGGCCAGCUCCCUGCCAGCUCCAUUCCCCCCAAAACAGCCUCCGAUUGUCCCAGUGCUCCCAAGUUCCCUGAAGUCCUUCCAGAGGCCACUCUCUCAUGGGGACAGUCACUCUCAAAGGGACCCCAGGCAAGCUGCUUCCUGCUGGACAGGCAUGGUGGUCCCAGCCUCACAGGAGUCCCAGGAUUUCCAUGCCCCGCUGAGAACUCACAGCCUAGAGUUUGGCAAGGACAGAGAGCCAGAGUCGGCUAUGGCUCCAUUUAGCAUUUGUAUGCGGGUGCUGGCCCUGAACAGGAGCUAAGAAUCCGUCAGCCCAAAAUAAAGCUCUCACUGAAAGCAAUCCUAAGAAGACAGAUCAGGGGAAAGGGAACCACCAAGGGCCUCUGUCUAGUUGAGAAUUCUCUAUUCUCAGCCCAUACCUCAACCCUCAUCUGUAGGGUUCACUGGACAGGUUUCUCAAAGCUCAGAUUGUGAUGGCAAAGAUUCAUUUAUCACCCAUGGCAGUGCCCUAACUCAGGGGUGGAGCAUCUGUAUCAGAAUAUGGUACAAAGGGCUUUCUCAAAAGGCUCGUCCCAGGUCUAGCCCUCCAGACUUGGUGAAAGUAUUAGCUACUGUUCUGACAAAAGCAAUUUAAAGAUGGGGGUGGGGUUGGUGUAGGUAUUUUGG